AGCUCCAAUAGCGUAUAUUAAAGUUGUUGCAGUUAAAAAGCUCGUAGUCUGAUUACGGGCGUGCGCGCGCAGGGUCGGGGCCGAAUGGCCUUUGCACCUUGCGCAUGCACGCCCUUUUGUUUGGAGGAGCGUGCGUGCUAUUAUGGAUACGGUGCGGACGUUAUUCCGGAGUUUUACUUUGAGAAAAAUAGAGUGUUCAAAGCAGGCGAUUGCCUUGAAUACAUUAGCAUGGGAUAAUGGAACAGGACGUCAGUUCUGUUUUGAUGGUUUUCGGACCGACGUAACGAUGAAUAGAGGCAGCUGGGGGCACUUAUAUUCCAUGGCUAGAGGUGAAAUUCUUGGAUUCAUGGAAGAUAAACUACUGCGAAAGCAUUUGUCAAAGAUGUUUUCA
This 391-nucleotide ribosomal RNA is filed under the name uncultured eukaryote. RNAcentral's name for it is "SSU rRNA". It matches the Rfam family "Eukaryotic small subunit ribosomal RNA", at positions 587 to 972 of the family's 1831-position model. The record is from RNAcentral.